AAGUCGUAACAAGGUUUCCGUAGGUGAACCUGCGGAAGGAUCAUUAACACGUAUCCAACGUUAAACCCCCCGUGAACCUUCAUUGUGCUCCCCCAUUCCGUUAGGACGCGGUAAUCCCUGGUAAAUCAUCGCCGAACAGUUUUGAUUCAGGGACCUCUGCAUGGAGUGGGCAGCAGCGCGAGGCAAGUGGCCUGGCAUUCGAAAGAAUGGCGCAGUAACGAUCGCUAGAGGCCGACACGGCCGGCGACCGGGUCACUGGGCUCACGCCCCCCUAUCACCUUUGCAUGAAAACGGGCCUGCGCUUAAUUGUGCGGCCACCAAACUCGAACAACUGUUAACAAUGGAUAUCUUGGUUCUC
RNAcentral lists this unclassified non-coding RNA (358 nucleotides) under fungal sp. RNAcentral describes it as "partial internal transcribed spacer region". The stretch from base 1 to 46 matches the Rfam family "Eukaryotic small subunit ribosomal RNA", at positions 1786 to 1831 of the family's 1831-position model. Lineage: Eukaryota; Fungi. The record is from RNAcentral.